RNAcentral lists this microRNA precursor (95 nucleotides) under Octodon degus (degu). Its description in RNAcentral is "miRNA (ENSODEG00000022070.1)". Lineage: Eukaryota; Metazoa; Chordata; Mammalia; Rodentia; Octodontidae. The record is from RNAcentral.
CUGUGGGGAUCUGGUACUGUGGUUCCUGCAUGAACACCGUGGCUGGUGGCGCCUGGACCUACAAUAUCCGUUCUGCAGUCACAGUCAAGUCAGCC